RNAcentral lists this unclassified non-coding RNA (290 nucleotides) under uncultured Tuber. RNAcentral describes it as "sequence contains ITS2". Lineage: Eukaryota; Fungi; Ascomycota; Pezizomycetes; Pezizales; Tuberaceae. The record is from RNAcentral.
AACGCACAUUGCGCCCCUUGGUAUUCCUUGGGGCAUGCCUGUUCGAGCGUCACUGCAAACCCACUCAUAAAUAUUAUGGUAAUGAUGGAUGUGAAGGGAGGCUACUAAUAUGUCUCAGUCACCCCAUUGAAAUACAUAGGCAGGACAAUUAUCUUUAGCAAAGGACUUAGUAACUGUUUUGAAGACAUAUAUUAGUUUCUUGCUAGGACUUGGACUGACUUCUAUGGAUCUCCAUUAAAGACAAAUUCUGGGUUGACCUCGGAUCAGGUAGGGAUACCCGCUGAACUUAA